GACGGGGCCCGCACAAGCGGUGGAGCAUGUGGUUAAUUCGAAGCAACGCGAAGAACCUUACCAGGUCUUGACAUCCCGAUGCUAUUUCUAGAGAUAGAAAGUUACUUCGGUACAUCGGUGACAGGUGGUGCAUGGUUGUCGUCAGCUCGUGUCGUGAGAUGUUGGGUUAAGUCCCGCAACGAGCGCAACCCCUAUUGUUAGUUGCCAUCAUUCAGUUGGGCACUCUAGCGAGACUGCCGGUAAUAAACCGGAGGAAGGUGGGGAUGACGUCAAAUCAUCAUGCCCCUUAUGACCUGGGCUACACACGUGCUACAAUGGUUGGUACAACGAGUUGCGAGUCGGUGACGGCGAGCUAAUCUCUUAAAGCCAAUCUCAGUUCGGAUUGUAGGCUGCAACUCGCCUACAUGAAGUCGGAAUCGCUAGUAAUCGCGGAUCAGCACGCCGCGGUGAAUACGUUCCCGGGCCUU
RNAcentral lists this ribosomal RNA (467 nucleotides) under uncultured Streptococcus sp. RNAcentral describes it as "bacterial SSU rRNA". It matches the Rfam family "Bacterial small subunit ribosomal RNA", at positions 916 to 1381 of the family's 1533-position model. The record is from RNAcentral. Lineage: Bacteria; Bacillati; Bacillota; Bacilli; Lactobacillales; Streptococcaceae.